This 253-nucleotide ribosomal RNA is filed under the name uncultured bacterium. RNAcentral describes it as "partial 16S ribosomal RNA". It matches the Rfam family "Bacterial small subunit ribosomal RNA", at positions 524 to 776 of the family's 1533-position model. The record is from RNAcentral.
GACGUAGGGCGCGAGCGUUGUCCGGAUUUAUUGGGAGUAAAGAGCUCGUAGGCGGCUUGUCGCGUCGACUGUGAAAACUUGGGGCUCAACCCCAAGCUUGCAGUCGAUACGGGCAGGCUAGAGUUCGGUAGGGGAGACUGGAAUUCCUGGUGUAGCGGUGAAAUGCGCAGAUAUCAGGAGGAACAUCAGUGGCGAAAGCGACUUCCUGGACCAGUACCGACGUUCAGGCACGAAAGCGUGGGGAGCAAACAGG